Centruroides sculpturatus (bark scorpion) is the source of this 778-nucleotide long non-coding RNA. RefSeq lists it as uncharacterized. The record is from RefSeq and is a predicted model, not a curated record. NCBI's taxonomy places the organism in Eukaryota, Metazoa, Arthropoda, Arachnida, Scorpiones, Buthidae. The transcript is spliced from 3 exons.
UAUUUUACAGAAAUAACUUCAAGUAAUUCAAUAGAAAAUCAGAAAUAAGAUAAUCACAGUUGUCUCUCUCAACCCAGGAACCAAUGUAAAAGCAGUAAAACGCAUUACAGUUCCUUUAUAGAAAAUAUCAUCCAUUCUUUAAAACAUUUAAAGGAGAAAACUGAUGACAACGAUUGAUUCCUUUGUUGAGCCACAUUAGAUUAUUCUGAAGAAUAGGAGGAAGAUCAGCAGAGGCGUUUUUUUUUUCCUCUCCUGUUUUUUUAUGUUAUAGAAAGUGAUGAGUGAUCGAUAGAAUCAUAAAAAAAGGGGGAGGAGGAGAAGAGGGAGAAGAAGAGGAAGAGGAAAGAGAAGAGGUGGUUAUCAUGAUUGAAUACAUUGGUUAUGAAAGGUCUACAUGGAAUAGAUGGCACAUCACCCCCAACACCACUUCAUCCUUUUUCUGAAUGAGAUGAUGCUCGCUAGAACUGUUACGAGGAUGCAAAGUCGCUCUACUCUCAUCACAGUUUAUCUGUAAUAAAUUACUUCACCAGAAGUAGAGCGUGACGGACAGAUUCACGUGAAAAAAAAAAGUCAAGCAUAUGUGCCGUACAGAAGCUGUCAAUGUUCUAAUGCCAUUAUCGAUGAUACAGAAGCGUAGAUGUGAUGCUGAUUACCUAAAAGGGGAAUGGAUAAAUCUAGUGUUGUAAGAGUGCAAACUCUUUGAAGAUUUUUCAUCACGCAAUUGUUAAAUUUUAUCUAAUAUUUCGUGCAGAUUACGUACUAAAACGAUGACGUGCAA